UGGUUUUCCAGGCAAAUCCGGAAAAUCAAGGCUGAGGCGUGAUGACGAGGCACUACGGUGCUGAAGCAACAAAUGCCCUGCUUCCAGGAAAAGCCUCUAAGCAUCAGGUAACAUCAAAUCGUACCCCAAACCGACACAGGUGGUCAGGUAGAGAAUACCAAGGCGCUUGAGAGAACUCGGGUGAAGUAACUAGGCAAAAUGGUGCCGUAACUUCGGGAGAAGGCACGCUGAUAUGUAGGUGAAGCGACUUGCUCGUGGAGCUGAAAUCAGUCGAAGAUACCAGCUGGCUGCAACUGUUUAUUAAAAACACAGCACUGUGCAAACACGAAAGUGGACGUAUACGGUGUGACGCCUGCCCGGUGCCGGAAGGUUAAUCGAUGGGGUUAGCCGCAAGGCGAAGCUCUUGAUCGAAGCCCCGGUAAACGGCGGCCGUAACAAUAACGGUCCUAAGGUAGCGAAAUUCCCUGUCGGGUAAGUUCCGACCUGCACGAAUGGCGUAAUGAUGGCCAGGCUGUCUCCACCCGAGACUCAGUGAAAUUGAACUCGCUGUGAAGAUGCAGUGUACCCGCGGCAAGACGGAAAGACCCCGUGAACCUUUACUAUAGCUUGACACUGAACAUUGAGCCUUGAUGUGUAGGAUAGGUGGGAGGCUUUGAAGUGUGGACGCCAGUCUGCAUGGAGCCGACCUUGAAAUACCACCCUUUAAUGUUUGAUGUUCUAACGUUGACCCGUAAUCCGGGUUGCGGACAGUGUCUGGUGGGUAGUUUGACUGGGGCGGUCUCCUCCUAAAGAGUAACGGAGGAGCACGAAGGUUGGCUAAUCCUGGUCGGACAUCAGGAGGUUAGUGCAAUGGCAUAAGCCAGCUUGACUGCGAGCGUGACGGCGCGAGCAGGUGCGAAAGCAGGUCAUAGCGAUCCGGUGGUUCUGAAUGGAAGGGCCAUCGCUCAACGGAUAAGAGGUACUCCGGGGAUAACAGGCUGAUACCGCCCAAGAGUUCAUAUCGACGGCGGUGUUUGGCACCUCGAUGUCGGCUCAUCACAUCCUGGGGCUGAAGUAGGUCCCAAGGGUAUGGCUGUUCGCCAUUUAAAGUGGUACGCGAGCUGGGUUUAGAACGUCGUGAGACAGUUCGGUCCCUAUCUGCCGUGGGCGCUGGAGAACUGAGGGGGGCUGCUCCUAGUACGAGAGGACCGGAGUGGACGCAUCACUGGUGUUCGGGUUGUCAUGCCAAUGGCACUGCCCGGUAGCUAAAUGCGGAAGAGAUAAGUGCUGAAAGCAUCUAAGCACGAAACUUGCCCCGAGAUGAGUUCUCCCUGACUCCUUGAGAGUCCUGAAGGAACGUUGAAGACGACGACGUUGAUAGGCCGGGUGUGUAAGCGCAGCGAUGCGUUGAGCUAACCGGUACUAAUGAA
Molecule: ribosomal RNA, 1409 nt
Filed under: metagenome
Description: bacterial LSU rRNA
Rfam family: Bacterial large subunit ribosomal RNA
Source: RNAcentral